RNAcentral lists this ribosomal RNA (234 nucleotides) under uncultured bacterium. RNAcentral's name for it is "partial 16S ribosomal RNA". It matches the Rfam family "Bacterial small subunit ribosomal RNA", at positions 96 to 334 of the family's 1533-position model. The record is from RNAcentral.
UGGCGGACGGGUGAGUAAUGUCUGGGAAACUGCCUGAUGGAGGGGGAUAACUACUGGAAACGGUAGCUAAUACCGCAUAACGCGCAAGACCAAAGAGGGGGACCUUCGGGCCUCUUGCCAUCGGAUGUGCCCAGAUGGGAUUAGCUAGUAGGUGGGGUAACGGCUCACCUAGGCGACGAUCCCUAGCUGGUCUGAGAGGAUGACCAGCCACACUGGAACUGAGACACGGUCCAG